GACGAACGCUGGCGGCGUGCUUAACACAUGCAAGUCGAACGGUAAGGCCUCUUCGGGGGUACACGAGUGGCGAACGGGUGAGUAACGCGUGAGUGACCUGCCCUUGACUUUGGGAUAACAGUUGGAAACGGCUGCUAAUACCGAAUAUUCAGAUUCUGCUGCAUGGUGGGGUUUGGAAAGCUUUUGCGGUUGAGGAUGGACUCGCGUCCUAUCAGCUUGUUGGUGGGGUAAUGGCCUACCAAGGCUUCGACGGGUAGCCGGCCUGAGAGGGCGACCGGCCACAUUGGGACUGAGAUACGGCCCAGACUCCUACGGGAGGCAGCAGUGGGGAAUAUUGCACAAUGGGCGCAAGCCUGAUGCAGCAACGCCGCGUGCGGGAUGACGGCCUUCGGGUUGUAAACCGCUUUCAGCAGGGACGAAGCGUGAGUGACGGUACCUGCAGAAGAAGCACCGGCUAACUACGUGCCAGCAGCCGCCGUAAAC
This 483-nucleotide ribosomal RNA is filed under the name uncultured bacterium. Its description in RNAcentral is "bacterial SSU rRNA". It matches the Rfam family "Bacterial small subunit ribosomal RNA", at positions 28 to 525 of the family's 1533-position model. The record is from RNAcentral.